Molecule: ribosomal RNA, 497 nt
Filed under: uncultured bacterium
Lineage: Bacteria
Description: partial 16S ribosomal RNA
Rfam family: Bacterial small subunit ribosomal RNA
Source: RNAcentral
GAUGAACGCUGGCGGCGUGCUUAACACAUGCAAGUCGAGCGAAGCACUUUACUUAGAUUUCUUCGGGAUGAAGAGUUUUGUGACUGAGCGGCGGACGGGUGAGUAACGCGUGGGUAACCUGCCUCAUACAGGGGGAUAACAGUUAGAAAUGACUGCUAAUACCGCAUAAGACCACAGCACCGCAUGGUGCAGGGGUAAAAACUCCGGUGGUAUGAGAUGGACCCGCGUCUGAUUAGCUGGUUGGUGGGGUAACGGCCUACCAAGGCAACGAUCAGUAGCCGGCCUGAGAGGGCGACCGGCCACAUUGGGACUGAGACACGGCCCAAACUCCUACGGGAGGCAGCAGUGGGGAAUAUUGCACAAUGGGGGAAACCCUGAUGCAGCUACGCCGCGUGAAGGAAGAAGUAUUUCGGUAUGUAAACUUCUAUCAGCAGGGAAGAAAAUGACGGUACCUGACUAAGAAGCCCCGGCUAACUACGUGCCAGCCGCCGCGGUAA